CAAAACUCUUUCAUAGUAGUUUAAAAAAUAUGUUUUCAUCUCUUUUUGUGCCUCACUUCUGACUCCGCUAACUUUCUCCACCUGCCUCAAGCAGUCUUCUUGACUUCUUCCUCUGACUGGCCUUCACUUGUCAUGUAUGGCUUCCAAAAGACUCCCCAAAAGUUCUCACUUAGUUUCUUACGUGGACCCACGAUAUAUCCAAACUGCAAUGGGGAAAAUCGUGCUGUGGAAGUAUGCCAUCUGUAUGCCAUCAACAAAUAGAGCUGGCAAGAACAUCUGUUGACAUCAAGGAAGGCGGAAAUUCGCUAGCCAGACUUCAACAGAAACCUUGGCACAACUGGUGAAUGUGAGUGGAAAAAUGAGUGUCAUAAUUUUGUGAGCACGGCUGGUGAUGCGUACAUAUCUAUGUAUCUUUGUGAGGUUUCCUUUUCAAACAUGACAGCCAUUAAACUGAAUAUCAGAAUAAAUUGAACUGAGAACCAGACCUUCAAAUCAUUCUAGCACAAAAUGAUACCCAAGGAUUCCAUAAGUUAUAAAGCACAUCCAAUAAUAUUGCUUUUAUUUUUAAAA
Molecule: long non-coding RNA, 570 nt
Organism: Monodelphis domestica (gray short-tailed opossum)
Lineage: Eukaryota; Metazoa; Chordata; Mammalia; Didelphimorphia; Didelphidae
Source: RefSeq, a predicted model, not a curated record